UAAAAGCUCUUUUCAGAGUCACCUACUCUUUCAAAUAAAAACAGU
Non-coding RNA from Camelus ferus (Wild Bactrian camel), 45 nucleotides. NCBI's taxonomy places the organism in Eukaryota, Metazoa, Chordata, Mammalia, Artiodactyla, Camelidae. The record is from Rfam.